UUCGCAAUGCCCGAAAGGGUGACAAUGCGACUCCGCGUGUGGGAUGAAGGCCUUCGGGUUGUAAACCACUGUCGACCUGGAUGAAGGCAUAAGGGUUAAUAACCUUUAUGAUUGACGGUACAGGUGGAGGAAGCCACGGCUAACUCUGUGCCAACAGCCGCGGUAAUACAGAGGUGGCAAGCGUUGUUCGGAUUCACUGGGUGUAAAGGUCAUGUAGGCGUCUUGUUAAGUCGGGCGUGAAAUCCUAUGGCUCAACCAUAGAACUGCGCCCGAUACUGGCAGGAUUGAGUACGGGAGAGGUAAGCGGAAUUCCAGAAGUAAGGGUGAAAUCUGUAGAUAUCUGGAAGAACACCAUUAGCGAAGGCGGCUUACUGGUCCGAUACUGACGCUGAAAUGAGAAAGCUAGGGGAGCAAACAGGAUUAGAUACCCUGGUAGUCCUAGCCGUAAACGAUGGGCACUAAGUAGAGGGGUUUU
Molecule: ribosomal RNA, 475 nt
Filed under: uncultured anaerobic ammonium-oxidizing bacterium
Lineage: Bacteria
Description: bacterial SSU rRNA
Rfam family: Bacterial small subunit ribosomal RNA
Source: RNAcentral